This 254-nucleotide ribosomal RNA is filed under the name uncultured bacterium. RNAcentral describes it as "partial 16S ribosomal RNA". It matches the Rfam family "Bacterial small subunit ribosomal RNA", at positions 524 to 776 of the family's 1533-position model. The record is from RNAcentral.
UACGUAGGGUGCGAGCGUUGUCCGGAAUUAUUGGGCGUAAAGAGCUCGUAGGCGGUGUGUCACGUCGGCCGUGAAAACCUGCAGCUUAACUGUGGGCGUGCGGUCGAUACGGGCAUCACUGGAGUUCGGCAGGGGAGACUGGAAUUCCCGGUGUAGCGGUGAAAUGCGCAGAUAUCAGGAGGAACACCGGUGGCGAAGGCGGGUCUCUGGGCCGAUACUGACGCUGAGGAGCGAAAGCGUGGGGAGCAAACAGG